GCAGAUAUCUACAAGAAAAUUCAGUAGAUGGUGAGGUUUAUCUAGUAGGAAGUUGAGGUGAAAGCCAACGAGAUUGCUAUCUCUAUUGAAGAAGUACUACUUUGUUCUCUUUGCUUUCUUCUUUUAAUGAUUUCCAUAUUUUAUUUACUCCUUUGAACUACUGAGUGUUGAUUUAAUUGUACUUUAGUCAGUGGCAUAUACUUAGUGACAAGAUUAUGUUUUUUGGCUUUGUAAGUUGACCGCAGAUAGGUUCCAUCCCCAUUGCUAAACCAGAGAUGACAAAGUAACAAGCAAUGUUGGCGAAGCCGAUAGAAAGGGAGUCUCUUGUGAGUUCCAUUUGGUUGAGAUAGCCAAGAAAAAGCAUAGAGAGCAUAGCUCUUGAAGGAUAACUAGACCGGAACGAUAUAGAGGAAAUUUUAUAAGGAAGGUGUAAGAGAUGAUAACUAAAGAAGAAUAGCUAAGGAUACCUAUUGCACAAGGCCUUCCUUGGACAGUAGAUGAACCAGUGGUAUAGGUCCAACAAUAGUUACUUUGUAAGUUUUAGUAAAGAGCUUGAUUUGAUUCAAGUGUUGUUGAUGAGGUUGCUUUCAAUUUGUUUUGUUGCUUGGUAAAGCCUUUGGUGAAGGAAGUUGCCAUCCCUAUUUAUGUGAAACUUCAUAGUGAUUUUGCAAGCCAUUGAUCAAGUUGUCUUUUAACACCUAAUUUGUUCUCUUUCAUUUAUUUAAGCCUUUAUCUCAGCUUUUGCCCAUUGGGUCAAGAAAAACUGCAUUUGUCCUUUGGUUCAAGGGAAAAAAAUUAUGUCUGGCAGAACAUGGUUCUGUUGAUGGAGUGUAAAGGUUAAAAAUGAAGAGCUAUAAUGAUUGCUUUCGUGAAAGCAUGUAUAAGAGAUAAAAUUAAGGAUUUUGAAUUUCCCUCCUCUUGCUGAAUAACUUUUUCUUAAUGGACUGCCCAAUAAUUUUUAAAUUUUUAAGUCAUUUAAUGAGAGCCUUUCUAUUCAUGCUCUCCAUUUCUCUUUUUUGUUUUUUUUAAUGAAUUAGAAGAUCAAGAUGAUUUGUUAGGUUAAAGAUGAUUUGUUAUUUCCCUUUAUCAGUGAAUUAAAUAAAAAUAUAAUAUGCUUUUGAUUCCAUUUCAACUUGCAUCACCUUUUUUGUUUUGUAUCUUCAUUUUUGUUCAAGAAGUCCCUUUUCUUUGGAUCAUGAAAUAGCAGUAUCUAUUCUCAAUAUCAGUGGAGUACUAAAUACCUUAAAGAUUUAUGCCACACAUAUUUAAUCCCCAACAGACUGUAUAGCUAAGUCCCUUUUUCCCAUGCAUACUUAAUCAGUUCGCUUAUUCAGUACAGAUCUUUCAUAUUUCCCAUGAAGUGAUUUCAAAAACUAACUUGUUGUUUUCUAAAGUUUAGCUAGGAGUCUGCAACUAGUUCUUUGAUCUACAUUUGGAAGAUGAUUUUAAUUGUUGGGUUGUUCACUUGAAUAAUGGCAAUCGUUGAGAAGGAUCAUGUGAUAGCUGUUUCUUCAAAGCAAGCUGUGUAUUAUGUUGGUAGCCCACACUUAAGAAGCCAUGUUAAAACUUUUUCAAACCUUAGAUAUGUAUCUAAAGCUGUUUAUAGAUCUGUGAAGCUACUUACAGAUGUGGUCACUUGUUUUGUGGAUGAAUGGAAUAUUCAUAUCAUUUU
Neltuma alba is the source of this 1672-nucleotide long non-coding RNA. RefSeq lists it as uncharacterized. The record is from RefSeq and is a predicted model, not a curated record. NCBI's taxonomy places the organism in Eukaryota, Viridiplantae, Streptophyta, Magnoliopsida, Fabales, Fabaceae. The transcript has 2 exons.